GUGAGGAAUAUUGGUCAAUGGGCGGGAGCCUGAACCAGCCAAGUCGCGUGAAGGAAGAAGGAUCUAUGGUUCGUAAACUUCUUUUGCAGGGGAAUAAAGUGCGGGACGUGUCCUGUUUUGUAUGUACCCUGAGAAUAAGGAUCGGCUAACUCCGUGCCAGCAGCCGCGGUAAUACGGAGGCUCCGAGCGUUAUCCGGAUUUAUUGGGUUUAAAGGGUGCGUAGGUGGUUUGAUAAGUCAGCGGUGAAAGUUUGCAGCUUAACUGUAAAAAUGCCGUUGAAACUGUCGGACUUGAGUGUAAAUGAGGUAGGCGGAAUGCGUGGUGUAGCGGUGAAAUGCAUAGAUAUCACGCAGAACUCCGAUUGCGAAGGCAGCUUACUAAGCUACAACUGACACUGAAGCACGAAAGCGUGGGGAUCAAACAGGAUUAGAAACCCUAGUAGUCC
RNAcentral lists this ribosomal RNA (445 nucleotides) under uncultured bacterium. RNAcentral's name for it is "partial 16S ribosomal RNA". It matches the Rfam family "Bacterial small subunit ribosomal RNA", at positions 354 to 796 of the family's 1533-position model. The record is from RNAcentral.